AAUGGACGGAAGUCUGAUCCAGCCAUGCCGCGUGAAGGAAGAAGGCGCUCAGCGUUGUAAACUUCUUUUGGACGGGGACAAACCUGUGGAUUCAUCCGCAGCUGAGGGUACCGUCAGAAUAGGCACCGGCUAACUCUGUGCCAGCAGCCGCGGUAAUACGGAGGGUGCAAGCGUUAUCCGGAAUCACUGGGUUUAAAGGGUGCGUAGGCGGUCUGGUAAGUCAGUCGUGAAAUCGCCGGGCUUAACCCGUGCAACUGCGAUUGAUACUGCCGGACUUGAAUGAGGUUGAGGUAGGCGGAAUGUGGCGUGUAGCGGUGAAAUGCUUAGAUAUGCCAUAGAACACCGAUUGCGAAGGCAGCUUGCUGGGCCUUCAUUGACGCUGAGGCACGAAAGCGUGGGGAGCAAA
This 406-nucleotide ribosomal RNA is filed under the name uncultured bacterium. RNAcentral's name for it is "bacterial SSU rRNA". It matches the Rfam family "Bacterial small subunit ribosomal RNA", at positions 370 to 772 of the family's 1533-position model. The record is from RNAcentral.